This 468-nucleotide ribosomal RNA is filed under the name uncultured bacterium. RNAcentral describes it as "partial 16S ribosomal RNA". It matches the Rfam family "Bacterial small subunit ribosomal RNA", at positions 28 to 507 of the family's 1533-position model. The record is from RNAcentral.
GACGAACGCUGGCGGCGUGCUUAACACAUGCAAGUCGAACGGAAAGGCCCUGCUUUUGUGGGGUGCUCGAGUGGCGAACGGGUGAGUAACACGUGAGUAACCUGCCCUUGACUUUGGGAUAACUUCAGGAAACUGGGGCUAAUACCGGAUAGGAGCUCCUGCUGCAUGGUGGGGGUUGGAAAGUUUCGGCGGUUGGGGAUGGACUCGCGGCUUAUCGGCUUGUUGGUGGGGUAGUGGCUUACCAAGGCUUUGACGGGUAGCCGGCCUGAGAGGGUGACCGGCCACAUUGGGACUGAGAUACGGCCCAGACUCCUACGGGAGGCAGCAGUGGGGAAUAUUGCACAAUGGGAGGAAGCCUGAUGCAGCAACGCCGCGUGCGGGAUGACGGCCUUCGGGUAGUAAACCGCUUUCGCCUGUGACGAAGCGUGAGUGACGGUAAUGGGUGAAGAAGCACCGGCUAACUACGUG